Long non-coding RNA from Clupea harengus (Atlantic herring), 828 nucleotides. The record is from Ensembl. NCBI's taxonomy places the organism in Eukaryota, Metazoa, Chordata, Actinopteri, Clupeiformes, Clupeidae.
GCUGUGUUGAAUCUCUGUCUUCCAGGUGCCGGUGAUUAACCACCUGGGCGGGCGUGUCCCUCCACUAUAAAGGACCGGCACUUCCUGAAUUCGAGAGAGCUAAGAGCUGGAGAGCUAGAGAACUUUGAUUGUGAACUGAAACUUUGGAAACUUUGUAAAUUAAACCUUUGCGUUUUGGACAAACUUUUGGUACUUUUGGUUUCUUGUAACAAGCCUAAGAGCCGGGUUGUUACAAGUGGGGGCUCGUCAAAACUAACGAAACUUUGUGUUUGUGGCUUGAGAAGCUUUUUUGUUGUUUGAUUCGGCACGCAGCUUUCCGCGUUGGCGUAAGCCUAAAAUCUUUGUGUUGGUUGGAAACUCCUUAGUUAGUUUGCAUCGCUUGGCGAGCAUAUUUCGUUUUGUUUGUGUGUACAUUGCUGAAACUGAAAGCACACUGUCAACGUCUGGACACACACGCUCACUCUGAGGAGCAGGAUGUUCUGGCACAGAACCUCCCGGAGGUCUCUUCUGCCUGCGUAGUCACACGAGCUGCCCUCCGCGCUGCCAAAGAGCAGGAUGUGGAUGGGGAAGUUUGUGGUGCUCCGGAGUCCUGUCUCUUGGGGGAAAAACGUCCCCCAUUGGUGUCGCGGGAGGAGCUUGUGCAAGAAACGAAAACAGAGCUAGAGAACAAGAGAACUUUGAUUGUGAACUGAAACUUUGUAAAUUAAACCUUUGCGUUUUGGACAAACUUUUGGUUUCUUGUAACAAGCCUAAGAGCCGGGUUGUUACAGUGGUGUGUGUGUAUUUAUGUGUAUGCAAACUAAUUUAGGCUUUCAGAGUGGAAACCUC